UUGUCCGGAUUUAUUGGGCGUAAAGAGCGUGUAGGCGGCCAGAUAGGUCCGUUGUGAAAACUCGAGGCUCAACCUCGAGACGCCGAUGGAAACCAUUUGGCUAGAGUCCGGAAGAGGAGAGUGGAAUUCCUGGUGUAGCGGUGAAAUGCGCAGAUAUCAGGAGGAACACCCGUGGCUAAGGCGGCUCUCUGGGACGGUACUGACGCUGAGGUGCGAAAGCGUGGGGAGCAAACAGG
This 236-nucleotide ribosomal RNA is filed under the name uncultured bacterium. Its description in RNAcentral is "partial 16S ribosomal RNA". It matches the Rfam family "Bacterial small subunit ribosomal RNA", at positions 541 to 776 of the family's 1533-position model. The record is from RNAcentral.